GACGAACGCUGGCGGCGUGCUUAACACAUGCAAGUCGAACGGAAAGGCCCUGCUUUUGUGGGGUGCUCGAGUGGCGAACGGGUGAGUAACACGUGAGUAACCUGCCCUUGACUUUGGGAUAACUUCAGGAAACUGGGGCUAAUACCGGAUAGGAGCUCCUGCUGCAUGGUGGGGGUUGGAAAGUUUCGGCGGUUGGGGAUGGACUCGCGGCUUAUCAGCUUGUUGGUGGGGUAGUGGCUUACCAAGGCUUUGACGGGUAGCCGGCCUGGGAGGGUGACCGGCCACAUUGGGACUGAGAUACGGCCCAGACUCCUACGGGAGGCAGCAGUGGGGAAUAUUGCACAAUGGGGGGAAGCCUGAUGCAGCAACGCCGCGUGCGGGAUGACGGCCUUCGGGUUGUAAACCGCUUUCGCCUGUGACGAAGCGUGAGUGACGGUAAUGGGUAAAGAAGCACCGGCUAACUACGUG
Molecule: ribosomal RNA, 468 nt
Filed under: uncultured bacterium
Lineage: Bacteria
Description: partial 16S ribosomal RNA
Rfam family: Bacterial small subunit ribosomal RNA
Source: RNAcentral